Molecule: ribosomal RNA, 524 nt
Filed under: uncultured bacterium
Lineage: Bacteria
Description: bacterial LSU rRNA
Rfam family: Bacterial large subunit ribosomal RNA
Source: RNAcentral
CGCAGCGAAAGCGAGUCUGAAUAGGGCGCAUAGUUGCCGGCAUGAGACCCGAAACCUGGUGAUCUAGCCAUGGACAGGUUGAAGGUGGGGUAACACCCACUGGAGGACCGAACCCACGCCUGUUGAAAAAGUCGGGGAUGAUCUGUGGUUAGGGGUGAAAAGGCCAAAUCAAACCAGGAAAUAGCUGGUUCUCCGCGAAAUCUAUUGAGGUAGAUCGUCCGUCGAUCACCAUCGGAGGUAGAGCACCGGAAGGGCUAGGGGGGCCCAAAGCCCUACCAAACCCUACCGAACUCCGAAUGCCGAUGAGUGCAGGCGGGCAGACAGACAGUGGGUGCUAAGGUCCAUUGUCGAGAGGGGAAACAACCCCAGACCACCAGCUAAGGCCCCCAAAUGAUGGCUAAGUGGGAAAGCAUGUGAGACGGCCAAAACAACCAGGAGGUUGGCUUAGAAGCAGCCAUCCUUUAAAGAAAGCGUAAUAGCUCACUGGUCUAAACAAGCUGUCUUGCGGCGAAAAUGUACCGGGG